This 507-nucleotide ribosomal RNA is filed under the name uncultured bacterium. Its description in RNAcentral is "partial 16S ribosomal RNA". It matches the Rfam family "Bacterial small subunit ribosomal RNA", at positions 28 to 507 of the family's 1533-position model. The record is from RNAcentral.
GACGAACGCUGGCGGCGUGCCUAAUACAUGCAAGUCGAACGCAUUUUCUUUCACCGUAGCUUGCUACACCGAAAGAAAAUGAGUGGCGAACGGGUGAGUAACACGUGGGUAACCUGCCCAUCAGCGGGGGAUAACACUUGGAAACAGGUGCUAAUACCGCAUAAUUCCAUUUACCGCAUGGUAGAUGGAUGAAAGGCGCUUUUGCGUCACUGAUGGAUGGACCUGCGGUGCAUUAGCUAGUUGGUGGGGUAACGGCCUACCAAGGCUGCGAUGCAUAGCCGAACUGAGAGGGUGAUCGGCCACACUGGGACUGAGACACGGCCCAGACUCCUACGGGAGGCAGCAGUAGGGAAUCUUCGGCAAUGGACACAAGUCUGACCGAGCAACGCCGCGUGAGUGAAGAAGGAUUUCGGAUCGUAAAACUCGGUUGUUAGAGAAGAACAAGGAUGAGAGUGGAAAGUUCAGCGCUUGACGGUAUCUAACCAGAAAGCCACGGCUAACUACGUG